Molecule: ribosomal RNA, 377 nt
Filed under: uncultured organism
Description: partial 16S ribosomal RNA
Rfam family: Bacterial small subunit ribosomal RNA
Source: RNAcentral
GUAGGGUGCGAGCGUUAUCCGGAAUCAUUGGGCGUAAAGAGCUCGUAGGCGGUUCAGCAAGUCGGCUGUGAAAUUCCGAGGCUCAACCUCGGAACUGCAGUCGAUACUGUUGUGACUCGAGUCCGGUAGAGGAGAAUGGAAUUCCCGGUGUAGCGGUGAAAUGCGCAGAUAUCGGGAGGAACACCAGUAGCGAAGGCGGUUCUCUGGGCCGGCACUGACGCUGAGGAGCGAAAGCGUGGGGGUAGCAAACAGGAUUAGAUACCCUGGUAGUCCACGCCCGUAAACGUUGGAUACUAGGUGUGGGGUUCCGACCAACGGUCCCCGUGCCGAAGCUAACGCAUUAAGUAUCCCCGCCUGGGGAUACGGCCGCAAGGCUA